This 598-nucleotide ribosomal RNA is filed under the name uncultured Gammaproteobacteria bacterium. Its description in RNAcentral is "bacterial SSU rRNA". It matches the Rfam family "Bacterial small subunit ribosomal RNA", at positions 1 to 602 of the family's 1533-position model. Lineage: Bacteria; Pseudomonadati; Pseudomonadota; Gammaproteobacteria. The record is from RNAcentral.
UGAGUUUGAUUCUGGCUCAGAUUGAACGCUGGCGGUAGGCUUAACACAUGCAAGUCGUGCGAGAAAGUAUCUUCGGAUAUGAGUAGAGCGGCGGACGGGUGAGUAACGCGUAGGAAUCUACCUAGUAGAAGGGGAUAGCCCGGGGAAACUCGGAUUAAUACCGUAUACCUCCUUUGGGAGAAAGAGGGCCUCUCUUGAUGCUCUCGCUAUUAGAUGAGCCUGCGUAAGAUUAGCUUGUUGGUGAGGUAAUGGCUUACCAAGGCUACGAUCUUUAGCUGGUCUGAGAGGACGAUCAGCCACAUUGGGACUGAGACACGGCCCAGACUCCUACGGGAGGCAGCAGUGGGGAAUAUUGGACAAUGGGCGCAAGCCUGAUCCAGCCAUACCGCGUGUGUGAAGAAGGCCUUCGGGUUGUAAAGCACUUUAAGCAGGGAGAAAAAGUUAUAAGUUAAUACCUUAUAACCGUGAUGUUACCUGCAGAAUAAGCACCGGCUAAUUCCGUGCCAGCAGCCGCGGUAAUACGGAAGGUGCAAGCGUUAAUCGGAAUUACUGGGCGUAAAGCGCGCGUAGGUGGUUUGUUAAGUUGGAUGUGAAAGCC